RNAcentral lists this ribosomal RNA (253 nucleotides) under uncultured bacterium. Its description in RNAcentral is "partial 16S ribosomal RNA". It matches the Rfam family "Bacterial small subunit ribosomal RNA", at positions 524 to 776 of the family's 1533-position model. The record is from RNAcentral.
UACGGGGGGGGCAAGCGUUGUUCGGAAUUACUGGGCGUAAAGGGCUCGUAGGUGGCCAACUAAGUCAGACGUGAAAUCCCUCGGCUUAACCGGGGAACUGCGUCUGAUACUGGAUGGCUUGAGUUUGGGCGAGGGACGCGGAAUUCCAGGUGUAGCGGUGAAAUGCGUAGAUAUCACGCAGAACACCGAUUGCGAAGGCAGGUGACUGGGGCGCGACUGACGCUGAGGCACGAAAGUGUGGGGAGCGAACAGG